UAGGAAGCAGAGCCAGAGGACCAGGAUGGGAAGGCACUGGGCCCGCGGUGUACUCAUCAGAACAACACAAAGAUGCAAUCAGAACAAGCUGUACUUCCCUCCCGACCCUUCGCUCUCCCUCACCCAGAUAUAUCAAGGUGUACAGACUAUAUUUUUGCUGAUUUAUAAUUCAACUGCAUUGUAGUAAUGGAACCCAGUCUACAUAAAGCUGAUAUUUAAAAAUUUGGUUGGACUUCUUUUGUGACCCAGCACAUG
RNAcentral lists this long non-coding RNA (255 nucleotides) under Homo sapiens (human). Its description in RNAcentral is "HSALNT0403917". Lineage: Eukaryota; Metazoa; Chordata; Mammalia; Primates; Hominidae. The record is from RNAcentral.